GUCACGCCCGAAGUCGUUACCUCUCACGUUUUGAAGUGGUAUGCCUAACGUAGGGCUGAUGGAUGCGUA
Molecule: ribosomal RNA, 69 nt
Filed under: uncultured cyanobacterium
Lineage: Bacteria; Bacillati; Cyanobacteriota
Description: partial 16S ribosomal RNA
Source: RNAcentral